GUGAUUUUCUAAUUGCAAGAACUGAGGCCGUGUUUGCUCUCCUACGUAUACACAGGCCACUAAAUAACUGGCCUUUUUUGUUUUAGAUUAAAGAAGACAUGAUUUCUGCAAAUUGUAGGGGUCUCACAAAACAAAAAAAUUGAAGCCCAGUUAAGCAAAUGAGAUCUACAAAUAAGCUUUGUGGUUAAAAUGAAGCUAGUUAGUCUAUAAUUUGCAUUACUGGAAACUGUCAAAGACACUAAAGAAGAUUUACAAGUACUCAAGGUUUCUAAGAACCAAAAUUCUGUAGACUAUUAGUCCCUAUAUGCUUUUAUAUAAAAUAAAUAUAAUAGAGUGAAAGAAAAAGGUUGAACUUAAUUACUUAUUGUUCUUUUUGCAAAGAAUAACUCAUUCAUAGAGAAAAUAUACGUGCCCGUUUAAUUUUGCAAAGAAUUCUUCAAAUUGACUUUAGCCAUAUUACUUCAUCAAAAUUCACCUCUCAAAAUGUUGGAUUUUGGUUGUUCUUGUGGGUUUUGUUGUUCCCCCGACAGAGAGAAGGCGAGAGUAAAAAGAAAGACUGAGAAGAGAACAGGGAAAGAAGAGGAAGAAGAAGAAGAAGGUGAUGGGAAGCUCUCUGGGUUUUCUUUGAUCGCUGACCAAUGGAAGAAUCGUCUUCAGCUGACCAAGCCUGUUACUUAGCCUCCAUUGGUAUGGGGAGUUUGCGGAGCUGCUGCCUGUGGUGAUGGUGUGACAGAGUAAAAUCCUGAUCCUUCAAUAUAUCUGACAGCUGUUUAGGCGAAUGGAUUUCUUGAAAAUACUUAUGCUUCUCAACCUCUGAAGACAUCACCUUAAUCUCAUCGAUUCACCUGAUUUUCUAUCCUGUUGAAAAAAUGGGUAUGGCAAUAUCUAGGAUGGUGAAGAUGCUGUUUGCAAGGAAAGAAAUGAGAACACUAAUGGUGGGUCUUGAUGCUGCUGGUAAAACCGCCAUCCUCUACAAGCUUAAAGUUGCACAAUUGACAAUUGCAGAGUCUGUUGGCGAUUAGUUCUUUAAUUGAAAUGUGUCGAAGCAUAUUGAUUGUUAAUUUCCCUGCAAUCCAAGCUGCUAUCAUCACAUGCUGCAUAAGGUUGAUCGGACUUGAGGUCAGUUCCAACAUUUGAAGGGACCCUGGUGGAAGUAUUCCUUUCCUGUCCAAGAACAUGAGUUAUUAAGAAUGAAGGUUUGAUCAAUUAGAGUUCUGGCGAAAAUUGAGAGCUUCGAAGCCAUUCAGAAGCGGGAAGAAAUCAUUGAAGCUUCCUAUGGAGUCAUGAUUGCUUGGGUUGAUCUUGGAGUUGAAAUCCCACUCGAACAAGAUUUCAAUAGUCCAAGAGGAAAUAACUCAAGUGUAGGCAGCUAAACAAUGUUUUUGUAGCUUCUCAAUUACUUGAAUCAAUGAUUGAAUACCCAACCCCAACACACUUUGAGGUACCACUCUAAAUUGUACUAAUGAUACUGAUAACAGAGGAAGAUCAAGAAAUGUCCAGUCUACUUUUUUAUUGUUUCUACUUGAGUAGAAAAGAUCGCAAAGAAAAUAGAGACUCUGUUGUUCAUUUAUUCUUCUCUCAGUUUCCGAACAAUAAACGUUUGGAUUGAAUUA
This is a long non-coding RNA of Rosa chinensis, 1613 nucleotides long. RefSeq lists it as uncharacterized. Lineage: Eukaryota; Viridiplantae; Streptophyta; Magnoliopsida; Rosales; Rosaceae. The record is from RefSeq and is a predicted model, not a curated record. The transcript has 7 exons.